AAUUCCAUCGCAAAACCGUUAAUUGUUAACAUUUUUGUUACAGACAUACUUAUAAAAAGGAAAGCAGUUUCAAAUAAAACAUAGAAAACAAUAAGAACUUACUCUAUAAACUUGUAAAAACUAUUCAAAAAUUAAGUUUCAUAAAUUACUUAAACAUGAAGGUUGCCAUACCCGUGCUUGUUCUGUGUCUGGUAGAGGCUAUCUCAAGUUCGCCCGUUGAAGAAAAAAAAAUUGGAGGAGACCCAUUAAACUGUGUUAUAAAAGCCAUUGAUGGCUUGAAAAAAUGUCUUUCUGGCGAAAAAUACGUCGCUGAAAACAUUGCCAUUGGCCAAGUCCAAGUUAAAGCGUUCAAUCAAGGAGGUGAUAUCGUGGAGUGCUUGAAGGCUGUAGCCAAAGAUUUGGUGACCUGCCUGGUCUCUGGUGAUAAAGACGCUAUGGGAAAAUUUUAAAUUUGCGUGAUCGCUUUACGCAAUCUUUAGCAGUGUUGUUAUGUUAAAACCAAUGUAAAAUUGCAUAAAAUAUCUCAUUUAGAAAGAAAGAAAAGAAAGAAAGAAAACAUUUAUUUGCCAAAAUGGAUUAAACCUACAUGUUUUACCGAAUAUAGGUAUGCAAAUAUAAACAAAUAAAGAGGAGCAUGCUAUCCACUACAAAUCCAAAACAAAAAAAGAAUUAUAAUAUAUACUAGCACUAAAUUCUAUCCGAGUCUAUCAUUAAAGAAAUCAUUUGAAGUAUAAUAACAUUUAUCAAUUAUUAAAGACUUGAGGUGCUUUUUAAAUAGAUUUAAAUUUAAGCUUUUAUAUUGAUUUGGAAUUAUAUUAUUGUAAGUAAUUUGAAACAAUACAGCUAAAGAACUCCAUUAUACGAUUCUUGAGUAGAAAUUUUGUGCUUUUUGUCGACGUAUAUGUAAAUUACAAAGAAAAUAUUAUGUGUAUUAUUCAUUUCACCUUUAGAAUUUAGAAAUAAUAAGUGAAUUUGAAUCUUUAAAUUUG
Plodia interpunctella (Indianmeal moth) is the source of this 989-nucleotide long non-coding RNA. RefSeq lists it as uncharacterized. Lineage: Eukaryota; Metazoa; Arthropoda; Insecta; Lepidoptera; Pyralidae. The record is from RefSeq and is a predicted model, not a curated record. The transcript has 2 exons.